GGUAACAUUUGCAAACAUCUUUUUUCUUUCUUUUUGAAACAUCAUAAGACAUGUGCUAUUGGGCCUAUACUGUUGUAGGCUAUUCCAGGGUACACCAUACAUCGAUGGAGUCGCCCCUGCCGAACCCAGCAACAUAUCAUUUUAUGAUUAUGCAAAGCGACUUAUAAAUUAGUUUUUUUUAAUGCAAUUGAAGACGAAAAGUAAAAUGAUGUUUAGGUGAUCAUUAAAUAAAGUACAGAAUUGUU
Long non-coding RNA from Rhinichthys klamathensis goyatoka, 245 nucleotides. RefSeq lists it as uncharacterized. The record is from RefSeq and is a predicted model, not a curated record. NCBI's taxonomy places the organism in Eukaryota, Metazoa, Chordata, Actinopteri, Cypriniformes, Leuciscidae. The transcript has 2 exons.